UGUUGGUGCGUGUCGGUGCAGCAUCUUUAGCAGGGAGUUUGUAUAGGUCCUUCUCAAUAUAUGAACGUGUUGAAGUGGGAGUGGCAUUGUGUUGAAAUGGUUGAAAACCGAGGAGGGUGUUUUAAUUUCUACAUGUGACAAAUAUUGAUCCUGGUCUUCUCAAAUGCUGCAAAAACAUUGAGUACAAUGUGGAGAUUAUCUGGUGAUCAUUGAAGGUGAGCUAAAUUCCAUCUAUAACUAUUGUAUUGUCUAUUUAGUGUGCCACGUCACAGUGGUUUUAUAAUUUUCCUUGAUUAUUCAGGUUAACAUCGUUC
This is a long non-coding RNA of Nilaparvata lugens (brown planthopper), 314 nucleotides long. RefSeq lists it as uncharacterized. Lineage: Eukaryota; Metazoa; Arthropoda; Insecta; Hemiptera; Delphacidae. The transcript is spliced from 3 exons. The record is from RefSeq and is a predicted model, not a curated record.